AAGAAGAUCGUAAUCGUGAUAUAGCAGAGUUUACCAAUAAAAUUCCGCAAUCGCGUGAGCCACGCGCCCCGGCGGUACCCUCUCUCCCCUUAACCCUUCUUUCCCAACAUGUUUACCGCACGUGCCAAUUCGCCAUCCGGCGCCCCCUUCGCCGCACUUACUUUAUCUCACCCACUCGCCAAAAUUAUUAAUCCUCUGUCUACUCUCUUCUCUGUCAAAUCUUCAACCUCAGAUCACCGUCGAAAUUACCAUAAUCGCUGAUUCUAGAUCCAUGAGCGAUUUUAUGGAAUCGUCGACGCCGGCGCGUCAGGUACCGUUCCGAGAGGAUUGUUGGACGGAGGAGGCCACUUCGACGUUGGUUGACGCAUGGGGCCGCCGUUACUUGGAGCUCAACCGUGGGAAUCUCCGACAGAAGGAUUGGCAGGAGGUAGCUGACGCCGUUAACGCACGCCACGGUCAUACCAAGAAGACGCACCGCACCGAUGUUCAGUGCAAGAAUCGAAUCGAUACCCUCAAGAAGAAGUAUAAGAUUGAGAAGGCCAAGAUUGCUGAGUCUAAUGGAAACCUAACCUCGUCAUGGCCUUUCUUUUCUCGUCUUGAUGUUUUGAUCGGCUCUAAUUUUAACAAGCAGCAGAAAUUUACGCCAUCGCCUAUCCCGUUGGUGUCUCAAUCGACGCCGUCGUUGCCCCUGCCGUCGCCUCCGAUGGCUGUUCCGUUACCGUUUCGUAAUUUGCCAUCUGCGAUGUUUCCUACGGCUAUUUUGCCUCAGAAGCGUCCCUUUUCCUCUUCAUCACCACCGCCACCAAUGGUGGAGGAGUCGUAUUUCAGGAGGAAUUACUCUGCCAUGGCUGCUGCCGCCGCUGCGGCCGAGGAUGCACCUGAUGCAGAGGAUGAGGGAGACUCGGGUGGGGAUGAAAUUGAAGUGAGCGAAGAGAGGGGCGCGGAAGUGGAGGAGGGAGAUGAGGGGAUGAGGAGAUUGGCAAAGGCGAUAGAGAGGUUUGGAGAAAUUUAUGAGAGGGUGGAAAGCAUGAAGCAGAGGCAGGUGAUGGAGCUGGAGAAGCAGAGGAUGCAAUUCGCCAAGGAAUUGGAGGUUCAGAGGAUGCAGUUAUUUAUGGAUACUCAGGUCCAACUCGAGAAGAUCAAGCAGGCUAAGCAAGCUGGAUCUUCUGAUGGUACCCCUUCUACUGGACUAUAAAAGCAAGGGAUCCAGAAACUCCAUAAAAGAUUCAGAAGUGCAUGCCAUUAAAAUUGCUCGAAUAUGCUGAAAAAUUAAUUGGGAAUGCAAAAAUAUUCAUUUGUAUUGGCCUGAAUCAGUUCGUGGAGAAGGAUAUAGAAGGUUGAGCUUGUGUGUUUGAAUGAUGCAAACUCUGUAUUGAUCGCGCAGCUUGAAGUUAUGAAACCUAAUCACGUGGCAACAAGAUGCAAUUUGAUGUUGUAGUGUAGUAGUGGCCAAUCAUACUCUCUUAGAUAUUUAUAGUUAGCUGUGAGGAAGAGAACUUGAUGGCUUUUGGAGUUGAAGCACAAAUAGCUUUUGCGAGUCCUUGAUGAUUUGCACAUAAUUUCUGUCAAUAUUACUAUAAAAACAUUGGAUUUGGCAAAUUUUCAACAGAGAACUUUCUGUAUUCUAGUGAAUAGAAGAUUGUCUGUUAUAUUGUGUCUGAAUUUUAUUAAUAACUUAAUUAUGCAGUUAAUUUAGUAGGUUCUAUAUCCUUGAUGUCUCUGUAUGCCAAACUCUAGUGCCUAAGUUUGGCCUGCUGAAACUUAAAACUUACGGUGCAUUGUUCUAGUUAAAAAUGUUGAUUUCUUUUGUAUUUUUUCUACAUUUUCUUGGAAACAUGAAAUUAUGAACAUUUACAUGAAUUUUUCUCAA
Olea europaea var. sylvestris is the source of this 1870-nucleotide RNA transcript. It is a transcript of the gene named trihelix transcription factor ASIL2-like, with no coding region annotated. The record is from RefSeq and is a predicted model, not a curated record. NCBI's taxonomy places the organism in Eukaryota, Viridiplantae, Streptophyta, Magnoliopsida, Lamiales, Oleaceae. The transcript has 4 exons.